Molecule: ribosomal RNA, 224 nt
Filed under: uncultured bacterium
Lineage: Bacteria
Description: partial 16S ribosomal RNA
Rfam family: Bacterial small subunit ribosomal RNA
Source: RNAcentral
UAAAAGCCAUCCCAGUUCGGAUCGCAGGCUGCAACCCGCCUGCGUGAAGUUGGAAUCGCUAGUAAUCGCGGAUCAGCAUGCCGCGGUGAAUACGUUCCCGGGCCUUGUACACACCGCCCGUCACACCAUGAGAGUCGGGAACACCCGAAGUCCGUAGCCUAACCGCAAGGGGGGCGCGGCCGAAGGUGGGUUCGAUAAUUGGGGUGAAGUCGUAACAAGGUAAC